GCUUGUCUCAAAGAUUAAGCCAUGCAUGUUCAAGUAUAGCAAGUGUACAGUGAAACUGCGAAUGGCUCAUUAAAUCAGUUAUAAUUUAUUUGAUAGUGAAAUUGUACAUGGAUAACCGUGGUAAUUCUAGAGCUAAUACAUGCUGGUGUGCCUGACUUUUCGGAAGGGCGGUAUUUAUUAGAUAACGAACCAAUAUUCCUCUGGUCUAUUGUGGUGAAUCAUAAUAACUGAUCGAAUCGCAAAGCCUUUGGCUGCGAUAUGUCAUUCAAGUUUCUGCCCCAUCAGCUUUCGAUGGUAGUGUAUUGGACUACCAUGGCUUUUACGGGUAACGGAGAAUUAGGGUUCGAUUCCGGAGAGGGAGCCUGAGAAACGGCUACCACAUCCAAGGAAGGCAGCAGG
This 399-nucleotide ribosomal RNA is filed under the name uncultured Choreotrichida. Its description in RNAcentral is "partial small subunit ribosomal RNA". It matches the Rfam family "Eukaryotic small subunit ribosomal RNA", at positions 30 to 432 of the family's 1831-position model. The record is from RNAcentral. Lineage: Eukaryota; Ciliophora; Spirotrichea.